GUCUAGCUAGAUAACUCUAGCUUGUAACCCAAGUGGGGCAUCAAGGUGAUGGGACAUGGCUGCGGUUUGUCUAGGUUGGGAUGUUUGUUGCACUAUGCUGGCUUGCCUGCUCCAAGUUGAGAGUUGAGUCAUGGUGUUGUGCGAAGGCUCGGUAUCAUGACUCCUAUACAAGAAGGCAAAGCGUGAGGCUAGUUUCAGAGCAACAAACACCUUUAGCUCCUGACACUAGAGGGAUCAUAGGCGGCUGCAUUACCAUCCCACAAUGCUUCGUGAUCCAAGCCACCUGAACCAUCGCUUUU
This is a non-coding RNA of Lupinus angustifolius (narrow-leaved blue lupine), 299 nucleotides long. It matches the Rfam family "Plant signal recognition particle RNA". NCBI's taxonomy places the organism in Eukaryota, Viridiplantae, Streptophyta, Magnoliopsida, Fabales, Fabaceae. The record is from Rfam.